AUGCUGGAAGUAUUCAAUCAGUACAACUGCCUUCCAAGCAGGAAGUCCAAACUCGGUCAGCAUA
This 64-nucleotide transfer RNA is filed under the name Amblema plicata. RNAcentral's name for it is "Amblema perplicata tRNA-Gly". The record is from RNAcentral. Lineage: Eukaryota; Metazoa; Mollusca; Bivalvia; Unionida; Unionidae.